AGUGAACGCUGGCGGUAGGCCUAACACAUGCAAGUCGAACGGCAGCACAGUAAGAGCUUGCUCUUACGGGUGGCGAGUGGCGGACGGGUGAGGAAUACAUCGGACUCUACUUUUUCGUGGGGGAUAACGUAGGGAAACUUACGCUAAUACCGCAUACGACCUACGGGUGAAAGCAGGGGAUCUUCGUACCUUGCGCGAUUGAAUGAGCCGAUGUCGGAUUAGCUAGUUGGCGGGGUAAAGGCCCACCAAGGCGACGAUCCGUAGCUGGUCUGAGAGGAUGGUCAGCCACACGGGAACUGAGACACGGUCCAGACUCCUACGGGAGGCAGCAGUGUGGAAUAUUGGACAAUGGGCGCAAGCCUGAUCCAGCCAUAGCGCGUGGGUGAAGAAGGCCUUCGGGUUGGAAAGCCCUUCUGUUGGGAAAGAAAAGCAGCAGGUUAAUACCCCGCUGUUCUGACGGUACCCAAAGAAUAAGCACCGGCUAACUUCGUG
RNAcentral lists this ribosomal RNA (492 nucleotides) under uncultured bacterium. RNAcentral's name for it is "partial 16S ribosomal RNA". It matches the Rfam family "Bacterial small subunit ribosomal RNA", at positions 29 to 507 of the family's 1533-position model. The record is from RNAcentral.